Molecule: ribosomal RNA, 465 nt
Filed under: uncultured bacterium
Lineage: Bacteria
Description: bacterial SSU rRNA
Rfam family: Bacterial small subunit ribosomal RNA
Source: RNAcentral
CGUGCUUAAUACAUGCAAGUCAACUGAAGCACCGGUAGUAAUACUGGUGUGGAGGUGGCGCACGGGUGAGUAACACGUAGGUAAUCUGCCUUCAGGUCUGACACGACCCCGAGAAAUCGGGGCUAAUAGCAGAUGAUGCAGCGGCUUGACAUCAAGACAGUUGUUAAAGCUUCGGCGCCUGAAGAUGAGCCUGCGUCUGAUUAGCUAGUUGGCGGAGUAAUGGCCCACCAAGGCUACGAUCAGUAACUGGUCUGAGAGGAUGAUCAGUCACACUGGAACUGAGACACGGUCCAGACUCCUACGGGAGGCAGCAGUAAGGAAUAUUGCUCAAUGGGAGAAAUCCUGAAGCAGCAACGCCGCGUGAGGGAUGAAGGGCUUUUGCUCGUAAACCUCUGUAGUGAGGGAAAAAUUUCCACUCUGUGGAAUAUGAUGGUACCUCAAAAGUAAGCCCCGGCUAACUACGUG